Molecule: long non-coding RNA, 13475 nt
Organism: Trifolium pratense (red clover)
Lineage: Eukaryota; Viridiplantae; Streptophyta; Magnoliopsida; Fabales; Fabaceae
Exons: 39
Source: RefSeq, a predicted model, not a curated record
AAUUUGUUGGUCCAAAUUAUACGGACCCUGCCUUAUAUUACUCUUAUACAAUACACUCUCACAAACAAACGAAUUUAACGUUCUUCAACCCACUCUUAGAUUCUUCUUCUUCCUCCCUUCCCCUCUUGCUCUCAAAUUUUCAAAUUUUUGCUCUCAAAUUUUCAAAUUUUCAAUCAUUCCUAUCGCUCUCGAUAUGAUAUCAUCAAGAAUAACAAAAAAUCUGGAUACAGAAACCUUUUAUUUCCUCUCCCACAAAGUACGCGAGUUCUGAAAACCCUAACUACCCAAAUCGAUUUCUGUUCCGAUCCACUCUCAUGAAGCCUUCUCGCGAUGUCUGUUCUGGAAACUGGAUCCACUCUCAUGAAACCUUCUCGCGAUGUCUGUUCUGAAACCUUUUACUACCCAAAUCGAUUUCUGUUCCGAUCAAUCGCGAUGACAGCGUUGUUGUUUUCCCUAAUUUUUAGAUUUCGAAACCCUAAUUUAAAAUUUCAAUUCUUGAAAAUUUCUCCUAACUUUCUUUCAUCCAUUUCUUCAAAAUUUUAAUUUUUAGAUUUUGAAACCCUAAUUUUUACUUUGGGUUUGAUUUGUUUUUGUUUUAGGCGCCGGAGACGACGUGGCAGCAUCAUUUGUAUGGAGAGAUCAACAUGUGGCUGCGGCGGCGGCGUUUCCUGCCCAAGGUGGUCGUGCUUCCUGCCCAAGGUGGUCGUGCGGCUUCCAUAGAAACUGGAACCAAGCUCUAUAUAUCUAAUUUGGAUCAUGGUGUUUCCAAUGAUGAUAUAAAGAUAUAUCUAUAAAUGCUGAAAAUCUUUGCAUGAUAAGUUUUGAGAUGGUCAGGAUAAACCAGAGGUUCAACGAGAACAUAAAUAUGAGGUGUUGAUAUUAUUGGGUGAUGCAACCAGUGCACUUGGACAUAUGAGCAAAGGUGUAGCUGCAUUGUCUAUGGAUAAGUUCAUUCAAAGUCGACAGAGACAGGAAAACAAAUGUGCGGAGGAUUUUGGUGACGUUGUUAGAGAGUGAGGUGGAGCAUUAAUUAUGUUAGGCACCUUUCUUAAUCCCAGAUCAAAGAAAAUGUUAUCUGGCAUAAGUCAACGUCAUGAUGUUCCAGAUGAGAAUAAUGUGCUGCUUGCCGUCACCGACGAAGGGUAAAAGGAAACGGGAAGAUAGAGCAUGGUCGAGAUUUCCCAAAAAUUAUAAUAGAUAGAAUUUGUUAUCGAAUAAUCAGUGACUAAACCCCUUCCUGGGAGUCAAGGAGAGCAUGGUGUUAUUGGAUCGGCGAGAAGAAUUCCUUUAAACGAUAUUGCUAACGUUGGUUCUUCAUCUUUAAAAAAAACAGCAAAAUCACCAGCAACAACAAGUUCGUUGAAGGCAGGGAAAUAUACAGUACGUAAUGGUACAUUUAUUAAUCGCGCAAGAUGUUCACUAAGAGCUUCGUUUAGGCGGAAUGUGGAAUCUAUCAAACCACGUCAUAUUGCAUUCCAAGUGCUGCUGCAAACAUGGCCAACCAACCUAACUUUGCCCGGGAUACUUGGAAAGAUACAGAUGACUGGAAACGAUAAAGACCAGAGAUAAAUGGCCACUUCUGAUUUGGUUAAUUAGUUGACCAAACCCACUUUUAGGGCCGAUCCUGAUCUCGAACUUAAAUUGAAAAAUAUCAUCAUACAACAACUAGACAUGCUGCUAGUGAUGUUUCUGGACUUGCUGUCAAAUGCCUUGCUCCGUUAGUCAGGAAGAUGAAUGAGCCUUGCACCGUUAGUCAUCAUGCCUAUUGAAAUGUUUCAGAUGACAAUGGAAGUUACACAGAUCCAAUUAAAUGCCCAAGCAGUGGAUGGUGCUGUGAGGAAACAAGCUGAAGAUAACUUGAAACAAUUCCAGAUACCAGCAGCAGCGAAGACACAAUGAUGGUACUGAAGAUGCUGGCCUUGUUGGUCAUAUAUUCAUCUAAAUGAGUUCAAAUUUUGGCGUUCCUCUGGUGGUCUAUUCCAAAGGAAAAACUAUCAAUGCGAAGGAGGUGCUAGCUGCUGGUCCUCGGCCUCAACCUAUAAUGGAAACAGUUUUAAUUACUCUGAUGCAUGUUGGAUUACAUAGUGAGAAGGUGGAGUUAGAGGCUGUUUUUAUGAUAUGCGUGGUUUCUGCUGUUGAUUCUUGUCAAUGAGAAUUGGUCUGCACUGUACUUGACGAUCUUUCUAAGGAGCUUCAGUAUAUGACUAGAACGAAGAUGCUUAUUUGCUCUAUUAUGAUCUCGGACAAUAACUUGAUUUUCAUGCUUUUGUUCCGUAUACAUGUUACUAAGUAUUGAGUGAGAUUUACUGCAAGGUAAUAGCUCAACUUUGCUUCUAGUACUGCUCUAAUAAAAAGUCUGUUAGUUGCAAAGGCGAUCUGCGAUCCUUAAAUAUAGGACAUGAACAAGCUGCGAGAGAUAUUUUGAAUUCCAUUUGUAAUUUGAUAAAAAAUUUAUGCUUCCGAUUUGAAGAAUUGAAAAUCGUUUUAUUUCUAAAUUUUUAAAAUUAGAAAAUAUUUUCUAAACACUAUUUUCAAACCAGCGAUUAGGGAAAGAGAGGGAGAGAUAAGGCGAGGACGACCGGAAAUGUCUUUGGUUUACAAUAGAGGCUAUUUGUGUGGAUGCGAGUUGGUGACUGCAGUUGGAAAGAGAGAAAUGUCCUGCUACCAUCAAAGGGUGAAAUACACUCUGUGGUGUGAGACAUUAGGUAUUGUGCCUUAUGAGAAUGUUGACAUGGUAAGAUGAAGUGUGGUCAUGCUGACAGGGAUCAUGUCCUUGCAGAGCGGCAAUUGGUGGAGAUGGUAGCUGCGUGUGAUGGUGUGUUCAGAUCUUAUUCUCGACGAAGGAGAUGGAAGAUAGAUGUGUUGCAGAUCUUGUGAUGGAGGGCUGCUGAUCUGGUUGUAGAUCUUGUGGAUGGCUGCCGAUCUGGUUGGAGAUCUUGUGAAAGAAGGAUGCGGUUAGAGAAGAGAAGAAGAGAUUGCGUGUUAUGAUGCAAUAAUUUUAGUUUCGUACUCUAUUUUGUUCGUUGAAUGUCUUCCAAGAAUGCAAUAAUUUUUGCUUUUGCUAGUGUUAUAUUUCUUGUCCUCGUCUAUAAGUUUUCACUUUUCACCUUUUUGUUCCUUUUUCCAGGUGUCCUGGACAUUUUUAUCAUGUACGGUGCAUAUACAACUACCAGCUCUAUCACGGAUUUUUCUAAGAUUUCUUUGGUUUAGCCUUGCUUUAGUUUUGUAACUUUCCUUUAUGUGUAUAUUUGCCCAAAAUAAUGAUUUUUAUCUUAUAUCUUCAGGUUUUUGUUGUUUUUUAUUGAUGUGUUGAUGAUGUUUACAUUUACAACUCUUUGUUAUGAUGGCAGAAAAGCACUCCAGGAAGAGAGUAAAAGCGAUUCAAAUUCGAUUCCUGCAUUGUCAUCUUCUGACAAACCAAUGUGAUCGUUGGCCUCUCAUUCGCUUUGUGAAGUGGCCGCGCCAGGAACGACAUUAUGUUGGAUGGGGAAUGUAUGAAAGGAGUUUCGAUUUCAUAAAGUAUAUGCUGUUUUGGCUAGUCAUUUUGAGUGCAAAAUUUUUAUUUGCUUACUUUCUUCAGGUACGUGACAUACUCAUAGUUGCCUCCAAAUUGGAAUUAUACUGUUAGAACUGGUAUCUAAAUUAAUUAAAUAUACUGAAUUUACUAGAAUAUUUUAGAUAAUAAAUCUUGAAGCACUGUUCCGAAGAGCAGUGAUUACAUAUAAUGCAGUAGCAGUUCUUCCUCUGGCCAAAACUGACAGAUUCAUUUUCUGACGUAACAAUUACAGAAGUUACACACAAAUGACAGGAAUUUGAGAGCCCGUCCUCUCCCUAACCAACCGGUUUAUACCAAAUAAUGCUUCAAUUAAAACAACAAACUACUAUUUAUAGAGUUACACACACACUAAUAAAAACAUAACUGACAUAAUUAAAAUAACUUCUCCUAAUAAUAUAAUAACUGCCAUUAAUUACAUAAUAAAUACGUAAUAAUAUUUACUAAUAAGUGGUCUAACGUAUGCAUCUGUUUGUUCUUGUGUGCCUAUAUGUGGGUGAGUGGAUAAUAUUGCUUGUACCUACUGUGCGUAUGCUUAUAUGCUUGUACACUUGAAUGUUUUAUUUUUGAGGUUUUCAGAUCAAGCCACUUGUGAAACCAACAAGGGACAUAAUAAUAGAGAAAAACUUAGUUUACUCUUGUCAUGAUUUUGUAUCUAAAAGUAAGCGGUGGUCUGUUUAAGUUUGUGGUUAUGUCUUUUUGUUUCCUGUUGAUGCUAUUGGCUACUAAAGUGCCUUUAUUUUUGCUGAUAAUCUCAAUGCUUUGACAAUUGUUAGCAUAUGGUCUCCAGUGGUUUUCGUAAGUGCAUCACUGUUUUGCCUUUUUACCCCCUUGUAUGCUUUAGUUCUACUUUUUUCGUUAAUGAUAGCUUUCUUCUCUCGUGGGGAUGAAAUUGUGUUUCAAGAGGUUGUUGAAGUUUGGUGUGAACUAUGAAGUAGCACAGAUAUUAAUGUGAUAUUUAUGUACGGUAUCAUUUCUGAAGCCUUCUAGCAUUUUAUGUUUAUGUUCAUUUGCACUCAAAACAAGCUUUUCUGCUGAAAGCUAUAUCUUGAAAAACAUGUUUAGCUCUUGUAAGUUGUAACUCAAAUACUCAAAUAAAUAUAUUAUUUUAGGAGGUAUUGAACUAAUAUUGAGUUGGAACAUUUUCAGUACUGAUGGUUGUUUUUGUUAUUGAUUUAUCUCAUCCUUUUCACCUUGACUGUUUCUAUUGUGCAGGAGAAUGAGGAUAGAUAUAUUAUACUACCUAGGAGAUGCUGCUCUGUUUUCCUAUUAAUAUAAAUAAAAUACUUUACAUUUUUUUUUUUUUUUUUUUUAGCGUUUAUAAUAUAGCUCCAUUACUAAGAUUUUGCAUCUACAAACGGUUCCCCCCGAGAGCCCCUUGAUUGAUUAUUUGGCUUUCGUCAGGCUCACAACGAAAGUUGCGCUCAAGAUGGCUUGUACCUUACACUGUUAGUCAAGUCUUUCUUCAUGGAGCACUUGAAGCUUCUAAAGAAGAUGGCACCACUUUCAUAGUUAAUGGACAACAUGCAAAACAUUACGAGGAAGGGUUGCUCCAAGUGAGAUAUGUCGUUUGCCUCAGUGAUUGAAAGCUUUCUCAGGGAAGUCACUGUUACUCUCUCUCACUUAUUUACUUCUGUGCCUGGUUGAAUAUUUGACAUUGAAGACCAUGCUCUGAACUAGCACAAUGUGCUAUGUUGACUAUCUUUUUGUAAACUAUCUUCUAAAUGUGAGAUUUGAGCCUCUAUAAGGGGAUACAUUCUAGAACUUGUCUUGUGUUCCACUGAAAUUGAAAUGCAUAAAAUUGCAGGGUAAGGGGACAUAUAAGAAUGAUAAGGCUGGAUUGACACUUGCUGAUCUUGCUUACCGACGUGCAAAAGCAGUGAAGAAUCAUCAAAAGAAAUCUAAUAAAUCUAAUCCUUUGCCAAAACCUUCCUCUUCCAGGCUAGAGGAAAUGCGGGAGCUAUUCCAGAGUGACGUGAAGGAUAAAAAGCCGAAACGGAGAGGUUCUUGAACAGGAAAGAAGGCGAAGAAGUCAUUGAAAAGCAAGUCAAGCUGUAACCAGUGCUGCCAUGCUGAUCGGUUGCAGUUCCCAGGAAUUAAUAACGGCAUUAUCUACCCAUAAAAUCCAACCUUGCGAGCGAGGACACUGUUGCCACAAGUUUGACAUUAUUGCAGGCAAUUGAAACAAGAGAUACAAUUGCCAAAUUUAUUUAUGCAAGCUUGUUUGAAUGGCUUGUACAACAAGUUAACAAGUCACUUGCAGUGGGUGAAAACCAUACAGAGAAAUUCAUUAGUAUCCUUGCUUUUUAUGUGUUUCAGCCAUUCCAGGUAUUCAAUUUGUAUUAAUUUGCUAACAUGGAGAUAAGAGACUCUUGAAGUAAACAAAUUGUGUGCAUUUUUUGGAACAAUGAAAAUGCCAAAAAGAAUUCAUUAUUUCCAGAAAUAAAUCAUUCCUACUUAACAUUUUAUCUUCUUUCCAUCACAAUGAUACACUUCAAGAGUCCCACAUCUUAUUAGCAAGUUAAAAUGAACACAUUUUUUGAAAAUGCAAAUAGAAAAUGUUUUCAUUAAGUCAACGGGGCCUUAAAUUUUCUGUUUCAAAAGAAAUAUUUUCAUUGCUUUCAUGAUAAUGAUAUCAAUACAGUAUAGCAUAUUUAAUCAUGUAGGUACUCGUAUGAUAACAUUGUUUUUCCUCGUCAUUCCCCUAAAACUCUACACCCUUCACUAAACCCUCACUUUCAUACUUGCUCAUGCUUGUACCUACUGUGCGUAUGCUUAACAUGCUUGUACACUUGAAUGUUUUAUUUUUGAGGUUUUCAGAUCAAGCCACUUGUGAAAGUCACUGUUACUCUCUCUCACUUAUUUACUUCUGUGCCUGGUUGAAUAUUUUACAUUGAAGACCAUGCUCUGAACUAGUGUGGGGGAGGAUAUUUAUCUUGGGUAAGGGGACAUAUAAGAAUGAUAAGGCUGGAUUGACACUUGCUGAUCUUGCUUACCGACGUGCAAAAGCAGUAAAGGCCACCAAGAGGGCACUAGACUCUGGCAAGAUUGUGAAGAAUCAUCAAAAGAAAUCUAAUAAAUCUAAUCCUUUGCCAAAACCUUCCUCUUCCAGGCUAGAGGAAAUGCGGGAGCUAUUCCAGACUGGCGUGAAGGAUAAAAAGCCGAAAUGGAGAGGUUCUUGAACAGGAAAGAAGGCGAAGAAGUCAUUGAAAAGCAAGUCAAGCUGUAACCAGUGCUGCCAUGCUGAUGGGUUGCAGUUCCCAGGAAUUAAUAACGGCAUUAUCUACCCAUAAAAUCCAACCUUGUGUGCGAGGACACUGUUGCCACAAGUUUGACAUUAUUGCAGGCAAUUGAAACAAGAGAUACAAUUGCCAAAUUUAUUUAUGCAAGCUUGUUUGAAUGGCUUGUACAACAAGUUAACAAGUCACUUGCACUGGGUGAAAACCAUACAGAGAAAUUCAUUAGUAUCCUUGCUUUUUAUGGGUUUCAGCCAUUCCAGGUAUUCAACAUGAUUCGUUGCGUGUGACAGACUUGAUAAUUCCUUCUCAUAAUAUGUAGUUGAAGCAAAGGUGAUUUUCAAUUUGUGUUUUGAACCGUCGAUCACAUAAGAAAGAUCACUCACGCAGUCAUGCUGCAAAGAAAGUGAAAUGCAUAAAUGAAGGGGCCAUAUGGUGCAAAAGAGUGUAACCGCAACAACUCAAAAAUACGAGGAAGUUCCAUGGUUGGCCUAAGCGAAAAUGGAAGAGAAAGUGCCCUCUCUCUGCUGCCAAAUAGGCUAAAACUGGAUGAUGUCUUUGGGGCUCCAAAGUAACCUCAUUAAUGAUAACACAGCUUCAGAUUCAAUCUUCGUUGAGAUUCAAUGAAGCUUCAAAUUCAAUCUUCCUUGAAAUCCAGGUUCAGUUGAAACCCCACUACAUAGCUAGCUUAUUGUAUGGUAACUCUAAUUUGAGUGAUAAAAUAGAAUGAAAUAAUAUCGAACAAGAAGUUCUUGAUAUGAUUAAAAUAACCUUAUAAAAUAUGUUGAUUAUUGUUGGUGGUAAUAGGAACGUUAAAACUUAGAAGUUGCUCAAUGGAAAAUGUAGGGUAAUUUACAGGGUUGUUAAGCAUUAGCUGGAUUGACUUUUAUUUUUAUGUUGAGCAUUAGCUUAGGUGUAUGUGCAGGGAAUUCUUCACUCUGAUAUGUGGGGUGUGACACCCUCCAAUUUGUGGGACUGGGGUGUACUUCGGGAGAUGAUAUCAAAGAUAGGUGUAAGAAAUUCACUUCGUGUUGCCCCUAUGCCAACUGCAUUUAACAGUCAAAUUCUAGGCAACAAUUUGUGUUUUGUACCAUAUACUUUUAAUAUAUGACUAUGAUGCUCCUAUUAAUUUUCAUCACUGAACUGCUUCAGCCUUAUGUAAACUCACAACAGAUUAAAAGAGUAAAAAUAUCAAUCACAAAUGUAGAGUCCCACAACCUCAAUAUACUAACUUCAAUCUAAAUUGAAACCUCUUAAUCUAAAUCUUGUUGCAUUAAAAUGCUUACUUCAGUUAAUGAUCAGAAAUUUUGUUUGCUUACACAAUGAUGUUUUUCUUGUUCACCAAAUUGAGAGCUUUUAGCCUUAAGACUUAAGAGGUUUUAACAAGAGUUAGAUUAAGCGCUUUUUGCCUAGUUUAGGAUUGAGAUGAGCUUAUUAUUAUUCGUUUCCUUUGUGUGAUCCCUUGGUCGUAUCUCAAUCCCUUGUUCUGAUGCUGCGGAGCUGCAGCCGAAGUUUUAUUCACUGCGUAAUUUCCGUGUGCUCUGGUGACUAAGGGACGAGAUCCCGGGUCGGACGCGCUAAAUAACUCAUUCUCAGUCUUAGGCAAUAUUAACGGUCAUCAGAGUUUGGUUCCCUGUGUGCUGCGGGGUGUGUUAAGGACCAUCUGUUUUAGUGUUUUAUCUGCUAAGCUUCAAUUUGUAGUGUGGCUGGUUGUAACAGGCUGAAUGUUGUUUAUCUGUUCUGUCUGUAAUGGGGACUGGUAGAUGUUGGAAACCUGCAUAAUUAGCUAAUUGUAUGUGUAGGGGUUGUUUUGUUCUACCUGUAGUCUUUGUAUCUUUUAGGCCUCUCUUAUGCGUCAAUUUAAUAAUAUUCCCCUUUUUUGCUGUUGCAACAAAAAAAAGAGGUUUACUAAUCGUUAGUUGGUUCAGUGGUGAUUGGCGCUGAACUUGGUAGGGAGGACCGCGGUUCGAUCCUCCGCAACUACGAUCGGGAGGGGGCUGGAUCCACUCGAUGCCAGAACCGACCCCCGAACCAGAUUCAACUAGUGGUGGAAAUAAAAGAAGAAGAAGAGGUUUUCAAUGUUUUGAUUAUCUCUGUGAAUCUCUUCCUUGAAUUCUAUGUAAACAGUUGCUUUUGAAUCGUUAAUGAUGCGAAUUGAAUGAUUCAUUUGAUUUUUUGCUUCUUUAUACACAAACAUAAGUUAGUUUAACAAUGAGAAAGUUAUAUAUAGUUUAACAUUUAUAUGCAAUACAAUUAAAUGUGAAUGUGUGUUUGUGUGAAGCAAAUGAUGGAACAAUGCUAUUGGAACAGAUGACUGUUGUUAACCAGAUUGCGAAGCUGAUGGUGGAGUUUAUUGAGGAAUCAGGACUAUGAAAUUGGUGAUGGUACUACUGGAGUUGUUGUGUUGGCUGGAUCUCUUACAGCUUGGAGGUUUUGUAUGACAAACUACUCACGAUAAUGACUGGAAAUCUACAUAUUGCAAAGACUUUUGUAGUGUCUUUAACCAUAUGCUUGACAAUAAAUACAUCGUUGCUUUUUGGAACACAGCAUAUUGAACAAUUCUUCAGUCAAUUUGUUACAACACAUGUAACCUUCUUAACUCUGGUCAUUUACACUAGCAGUUCUACACACAAAAAAAACUGCCACAUAUCUUAUCUACGUUUUCAUUUGAAUGAAUCUUUCUAUCUAAAAUAUUAAAUAUCAUUGUCUGAGUUUCAUUUUCUUUUCUUUCUAAUGGGGCUCUGCAAAGAAUUUGCCUAGAUCAUGCACUUCAAGGCUGGUAAGUUUGUGAACUAUAGUUCUAUUUUGUUAUCAUUGCGAUUUCAUUUUUGGUGUUACUCGUACUUCCGACUUCUAAACUAUGUUGCAAUGAUUUUCCCUCAAUAUGUUGUAUCAGAAAUCACCACACCAAUUUUCUUUGUCAACGCGACAUAUGACUCAUGGCAGGUUGUCAAAUCCCAAGUCCUAACUGCAAGAUAUUACAGAAUUUAUCUGACAUCACUUUUACCAUGACUUGAUUGUCAGGCUUUAGAACACAAUUUCUAAGAGCAAUGACUGUAGCUUCAAUUUCACGAGUAGAUUCUAAUUUAUGAAUGAAUUUGUGUAGUUUAUUUAUCACGAUGAUUUUGACUUUGUUCUUGCUCUUGCCACCAAAUCGCCUUCAUUGCAUGAACUGACUUGACGAUUCCCUCUCGUAAGGUAUUCGACAAGAUCGACAUGAUUCGUUGCGUGUGACCGACUUGAUGAUUCCCUCUCAUAAUACGUAGGUAUCUUCUUCCAACUUCUUGGGUUUUUUUUGGAUUCUAGUUUCUUUUCAAUUGUUUUCAAUGUUUCUCAUAUGGGUUUUCGAUUUCAAUUCUUAGCUAUUCUUCUUUCAUUUCUAAUUUCUUUCCUUUUAUUAUUAGGAUUUAUUGUUUUAGGUUAAUCUUUUGGUUGUUUAUUAUCUAGUGAUAAAUUAGUAGCUUCAGUUUCACGAGCAAAUUCUAAUUUAUUGAUGAUUUUGUGCUGUUUAUUUAACACAAUGAUUUUGACUUUGUUGUUGUUGGUGAUUUCUUUUGAAUGAUGAGAACUGGUUUUAAAAGCAAUUAUUAUACUAAAAUUGUUUUGUGAUUUUUUAUCAACUAGAUGGUUGUGUGUAACAUGUAGUCCACUUUACCUAGUAGAAACAGUCUUUGGUAGUUGUUUUAUGUUCUUGUUUUUUUUAGAGUUUCUUAUUUCUAAUUACUACACCCCACUUUAUAAAACUUUGGCUAAAUGGGUUCUUUGGUCUAUCAAUAUGGUCCUUAUAAAAUUAGAACACCAUUAUUUUUUGUUUGUUUUAUGAUUUGGUCAAUUAAUAUGGUCCUUUGUCACGAGUCAUGAUACACAUUUCCACUUAGAGAAAAGAUCAAAAUACUCUUCAAGAAUGAUGUAUGAGAAAUAUACUAUAUGUGCAUAUGUGUGCUAUCAACUAUUAUAUUUACGUUUUUAAUAAUUAUAAUAAUUUCACCAUAUCAUCUUUUGUAUGUUCCCUCUGCAUAUUAAUGUUCAAGGAGGUAUAUUGUUUUGACUUCUAAUUUAAAUUACUGUUUCAAUUGAAAAUAUGAUGUUAGCAUGCAAAUAAAACUAGUAGGUUAUUGUCUACUGCAGUUUUUCACUUACUGAUCAUUACAUUAUUCAUAGGAUACGGGACUAGUGUAGAAGUAUAUUUGAUUGACAAUUAAAUUUCAAUUUAUUUUAUAUUGUUGAAACAAGAUGAAUGUACUUGUUUCUCAUAUGUGUUUAUUUGUUAUUGUUAUCGUUCUCUGCUGUUGGAUAUAUGAUAUUCUGUUUAACACAAUAGUAUUUGAUUUUCUAUUUGGUUCCAAUGUUUGAACUUUGUUGAUGAUGCUAAUUGAUUCUUAUCUAACUGCUCAACAUUGAUGCUUGAACAAAUUUCUCGAAUAUCUAACACCUAUUCUUUGUUUCCAUUUUCAUCUAUGACCGAGAAAAUUGGUAAAAAGGAAAUUGGUUUCUGUCUGACCAGCUGAAAUCAAAUUUGUCGCCUUUGUCAAAAGUUGACAAUGAGACCAUUAUGAUGUCAGAUGCAGGUCUUCUUUCUAAUACACUUGCACUGGAUGCAAUUCACAAUAUUGUUCCCUCCCAUGUUAUAAAUGUCACGGCCUUGUUUCUGUGCCUACUUUACUUGGUCAAUGAUCCAAAGGUAGUAUAUGGGGUGAGAUUGAAAUGCAGCAAGAUGUCUUAUGAGCCAAGCUUUGCAUAAGAUGUCUGGAAUUGCCUUUAAAGACGGUUGUCCAAAUAUGAUAUAAGGAGAUUCUAUUGUGCAGGAGAAUGAGGAUCGAUAUAUUAUACUACCUAGGAGAUUCUGCUCUGUUUUCCUAUUAAUAUAAAUAAAAUACUUUACAUUUAUUACAAACUCCUUUUCUCAAAUAUAAUAUAGCUCCAUUACUAAGAUAUUGCAUCUAAAAACGCUUUGCCCUUGGAGAGCCCCUUGAUUGAUUAUUUGGCUUUUGUCAGGCUCACAACGUUAAAUAAGGGUUUCGCGGGAGGCAACCUGUGUCCAUUGUUUUAUAUUUUAGUUUAUUAUUAUAAUUUUAUUAUGUUGGCAUGUUUGAUUUUGUUUUUAGGAAAUUCAACGUCUUUUUCCCAGAAAGUUGCGCUCAAGAUUGCUUGGACCUUACACUAUUAUUACUCAAGUCUUUCUUCAUGGAGCACUUGAAGCUUCUGAAGAAGAUGGCACCACUUUCAUAGUUAAUGGACAACAUGAAAAACAUUAUGAGGAAGGGUUGCUCCAAGUGAGAUAUGUCGUUCGCCUCAGUGAUUGAAAACUUUCUCAGGGAAGUCACUUUUAUUCUCUCUCACUUAUUUACUUCCGUGCUUGGUUGAAUAUUUUACAUUGAAGACCAUGCUCUGAACUAGCGUCGGGGAGGAUAUAUAUUUUGGCACAUUACUUCUGCUAAUUCUUGUUGAAUGAAUUUUCUGGCUUGUUUUAAUUAAGUUAUGCUUAAAAAUAGAGAUUAUGUCUUUGAGGUACCCUUGAAAAUUUUAUUUGACAGACUUGUUCAAUGUUGAUAAUGGGGUUGUCUUUUGAAAGCUAAUAAUUAGCAUAAUGUGCUAUGUUGACUAUCUUUUUGUGAACUAACUUCUAAAUGUGAGAUUUGAGCCUACUUAUUUACCUUGUCCUGUAAUUAUUAAACUAUUUUAAACUUUUCAGUUCAAACUAAAUAAAUUUUCCUGUAUCUGAAUUAUGUGUUUGGGUAAUGUAUACUUCAAGCAUAUUUCAUUUAGUUCGGUGGCUGUUCUGAGUCUGCACUUCCUAGUCAACCAUUUUUCUUUUCUUGUCUUUGGCGCUGUAACUUUUAGGCUCGAGUGUUUAGGAAUUGAAUAAGUCUUAGACUGUGAAUUGGAAUUAGUAAGCUAGAAGAGAUACUCCCUGGACUCUCUCCUCAGUAAGUAUACUCCUUGAACUUCUCACUUAUGCGGUUUGUAUACAAAAAGAGAAGUUAGCACUAUUUUAAACAUGAGUUAGUACCUAGGUAAUACUAAAUUUUUAAAUUUAAGUCAAAUUAUUGUAUAUGCUGUCACACAACCCUUGAAUACAACCAAUUCUUAGAGUAAAACUAAAAGCAAAACUUAAAAAUUGUCAUAUAGCAUAUAUGCUAAAAUACUAUUCCAAACACAAGAUUCAUAUUGCAUAAUUGUGAACUCUGUUGUUAAAAGUGGCCGCUAUUGUGGCGCGGCGUGGAAAAAUCGAGGUCACUGCUACUAGCCGUGUCGUAGCAGCGCAGACGAGUGAUGCGGUGGGAACUGUUGGGGUCGCAGGCGCAAUUGCAGAUCGGAUCGGCGUUGAUAUCUUUUUAUUGCUUUCUAUUAUUUUUGAUUGAUGUGAGAAAGUAGAAUAGCAUUUCGAUUGAAGAGUCAUCAAAACAGAUUGAAGACUCAUCAAAACAAUGUUUCCUUCCAGGGAUUGGGGUAGGCGAUUUUUCAGACUAUAUCAACAAUUCACAUCUUGGGACAUCCUGAACGGCCUCUUGUGAUAAGAUAUGUAUCUCUUAAUUAUUUUACAAACUCUUUUAUAUUUCAUGGAAUCUUCCCUUAUCUAUUACGACUACACCAAAUAUAAAGUGAUUAAACAUUCAACGUUUGCCAAGGUAUCCAUGUAUCAAUGCUUCAUAUAAUUUUGUUAAUGUAUUUCAUAAAUUUUUGAA